This 253-nucleotide ribosomal RNA is filed under the name uncultured bacterium. Its description in RNAcentral is "partial 16S ribosomal RNA". It matches the Rfam family "Bacterial small subunit ribosomal RNA", at positions 524 to 776 of the family's 1533-position model. The record is from RNAcentral.
GACGAACCGCACAAACGUUAUUCGGAAUUACUGGGCUUAAAGGGUGCGUAGGCGGCGCGGAAAGUAGGGUGUGAAAUCCCUCGGCUCAACCGAGGAAUUGCGCCCUAAACUACCGUGCUCGAGGGAGAUAGAGGUGAGCGGAACUUAGGGUGGAGCGGUGAAAUGCGUUGAUAUCCUAAGGAACACCGGUGGCGAAAGCGGCUCACUGGAUCUCUUCUGACGCUGAGGCACGAAAGCUAGGGUAGCGAACGGG